UACGUAGGGGCCUAGCGUUGUCCGGAUUUAUUGGGCGUAAAGAGCUCGUAGGCGGUUCGGCAAGUCGAAUGUGAAAUCUCCACGCUCAACGUGGAGGGGCCAUUCGAAGCUGCUGUGACUCGAGUCCGGUAGGGGAGUGUGGAAUUCCCGGUGUAGCGGUGAAAUGCGCAGAUAUCGGGAGGAACACCUGUGGCGAAGGCGGCCAUCUGGCCCGUAUUUGACGCUGAGGCGCGAAAGCUAGGGGAGCGAACAGG
Molecule: ribosomal RNA, 254 nt
Filed under: uncultured bacterium
Lineage: Bacteria
Description: partial 16S ribosomal RNA
Rfam family: Bacterial small subunit ribosomal RNA
Source: RNAcentral